CUCGUCUGGUGCGGCAGAAGGUGCCCUCCGGCCUUGUCUCUGCAGCUAGCAACUCUGCUGAUGGCGCCCAGUAGCAGGGUUUGGGGCAUGGGGAAAUUCUGUGGCAUAAAGAAGGAGGCUGAGCAGGAAUCAGGGGGUCACAUGCUUGCAGUCGAACACCCAGGCUUUCAGUAUUACAGAAGAAGGUGAAGCUGAGCACACAGGAAUUGCAAGUCCCCUGUUUCAUACAGAGAAGAUUUGUCUGAGGCAGUUCGCAGCCCACCGAAGCCCAUGAGAAUCCAGCUCUUUGGGGUUUGGGAGCCUGACUGAGCAGUGAACUACGAGUGAUGCUUGUCCUGCCUCCAAAAUAAUCGCACCUUCAUGCAACUGCCACUGCCCUGUGCCACUCAACAGCCUGGAGAGGGGCUAUAGGAAGGCAACCCACCGGGGCUGUUCUUUCCUGCUCUCCUGAAAUGAUUUUUGAGCACUAAUAGCUCUUUUCCACAGCUACAACCUCCCACCCGCCGCGUCUGCUUUGCGGAGAUAAGGCAGAGUCAUUCCUCCAGCUGGACCUGUGGUGCCUGGGGGGGUCUGGGAGAGCUGUCCCCGCCGGAGUGGGGCUGCCCGAGGGGGACAGACCCUCAGCCCGCCCCAGGGAGCGGCUCUCCGGGGAAGGAGCACUUGGGGCAGAAGCACCCCAGGCAGCGGGAGGGCGCCGGCUCGCUGCAGGCUCGCCCUCUACUUUUAGCUUCAUCCGAAACGAUUUGCAGCUCAAACGCCCCCCUGAGAGCCGCUAACCUUUGGAGGAGGAUUUGGCACCGUUAUCCUGCUCGGGUUCACGAGCUCGAGGAGCCCAGGAGCGACGCGGCUGCCUCCGUUCGUCCCUCCGUCCCUCCGUCCGUCCCGCACGGCGAUGGGGAGGGCAGCAGAGCCGCUGCUGCACAAAGUCUCGUUCUCGGAGCCCGUCCCGGCUCAGGCGAUGCCCGGGGGGGGUGUUUCCAACCGGGCAGCGAGGCAGCGGCUGCCGGGGUCGGGAUCGGGCUCGGCCUCCCACCGUUAGAACCGAGCAUGGGGUCACCGAGUGGUCGCAGAGGCACCCCCGGCACGUCAUCCCUCAGCUCGUGAACCCCGCGGACCUCGGCAGCCCUGAACUCCUCAGCAUCCCUCCGGCAUCACUGAAUACCCCCUCCGAACCCCCCCAGUUUCCCGUUUGCUUCGGUGUCAGCUGGUGCCUUGCCGGGUGCUGAGGUGCGAGGGUCCCUGGGCUAGGCGUAUGGUCAUGCUCCCUGCGGGGUUUGGGGUUUUCUUUUUUUCUUUUUUGUUUGGUUUUGUUUUAUGGUUUUGGUUUUGGGUUUUUUUUUUGUGCGUGGUGGGGUUUGGGAUUUUGGUUUGUUUUGGGGGUUUUUUUGUUUGGGUUUCUAAUUAUUAUUAUUUUAAUUUGAUUAGUUUAUUUUAAUUUUGAUUGUUUUCUUUUUAUUAUUUUUAUUUAGUCGGGUUGGUUUGGUUUUGUUGUUAUUUAUUUAUCUGGUUGAUUGGUUUGUUAGUUAUUAUUUCUGCCAGAACUGUCUCCCGGCACAUCUCAAACACGCCGGAUGCUCAACCACCAGCCGAAAGCCCGUCUCCUCCACCCUCGGCACGAUGCCGUUGGUGGCUCCCUCGUCCUCUCCCCGGCACCGGGGGCUGCGGAAGAGCGGGGGAGUUUAGGAAAUAUCCACGCACCGGGGGAAUUUUCGUCCUUUCUUCCCUGAUUUCCUGCAGCCUCCAGCAAUAGGUAUCUUCCACGUCUUCGUUCACAAUGAACUUGGCUUGGGCUAAAUUGGGAAAAGAAAAAA
Molecule: long non-coding RNA, 1811 nt
Organism: Strigops habroptila (Kakapo)
Lineage: Eukaryota; Metazoa; Chordata; Aves; Psittaciformes; Psittacidae
Source: Ensembl